CCCCGCUGAAGAGCGCAGGCUGACCCACGCCCGGCCUCACCCCGUCCUCGGAGCGGCCGCCUAGAAGCGCGCCCCGUCCCACGCUGCAUCUGGCUCAGGCUCGGUGACAGCUGAAUUCAAUGGCUGCACCCACCGUGCGGUUUCUGGGGAACCGAAGCCUUCAAUCAAUUCGGGGCAGUGCAGACACACGCAACCAGCGUGAGCUCAUCUGAUUAGGAGUCAUCAGCCAUAUGGCGCCUUGCGGCACGUCCACAGGCCCCCUUGACGAUCGUGGGGUUCAGGGGCUCGGUGCCGAGCCAGGCCCUGGUGCCGCUGACCCUUCGAGUCCAUCUCGCUCCCGGGAGGAGCUUGCGCAUAGGAUGACCUGGGGCGGAGUGUAGUUCCAGAAAGUUCCAGCUGGGGCUCCUCUUACCUGACUCCUGGUCUUAAGGUUUUUUUUCAUUUUUCCUUACCACAGAGGCACAAAGUGGGGCCCAGAGGGGUCAGCCAGGACCGAGGGCUGAGCUUCCGGGGGGUGGGGGGGGGUUGAGCUGGUUGACGCGCCUGCCCAGGGGCUCACGACUGUCCCCCAACCCGGAGGCCCGCCCUGAUGCCUGUGGGCCCAGCGACCCAGCCAAGACAAACACGGUGCAUGAGCUCACGGGGCCGGGAGCGCAGCGCGGAUGUGCUAUCUGCAAUGCGGACUUUGGACGGGGGCCUCACCCGGAAAGAAAGAAGCAUGAAAUCUGGAAACAAAAGAAAUGUGCGCUUGAACCAGGAGGCUUUAUCGGAGAGCCGAGCCUCUGGGAUCCAAGCCUGCCUCGCGGCAGAGCCAAGAUGCAAAUGGGCCCGUGGGGGAAAGGAGCAAAGUGGAAGGAUUUCCAGAAAUGGACAGGAAGGUUAAAGUCUGACGUGCGUUAAAAGAAAAGAAAAAAAAGGGAGAGUUUGGAACGCGGGGAGGACGUGCUCGAGGAGAAAGGGUUGGAAAAGCAGGGGGACAGCCUGAUGAAGAGGCGGCAAAGUGCCCGGCCGGCUCGGUGGUUGAGCAUCGACCCAGGAACGAGGAGGUCAGGGUUCGAUUCCCGGUCAGGGCACAU
Long non-coding RNA from Myotis brandtii (Brandt's bat), 1076 nucleotides. RefSeq lists it as uncharacterized. The transcript is spliced from 3 exons. The record is from RefSeq and is a predicted model, not a curated record. NCBI's taxonomy places the organism in Eukaryota, Metazoa, Chordata, Mammalia, Chiroptera, Vespertilionidae.